RNAcentral lists this small RNA (29 nucleotides) under Bombyx mori (domestic silkworm). RNAcentral describes it as "ovarian small RNA-29045". Lineage: Eukaryota; Metazoa; Arthropoda; Insecta; Lepidoptera; Bombycidae. The record is from RNAcentral.
UCGGUGGCGCAGCGAGCUUCGUGCUCGGG